UUUAAUUUUAGCUAGCAAGAUUAUUUGGACUUAAAAGUCAAGUUAAUAAUCUUCUAACAAACAUUUUCUUCUGUCAUGUUUAAUUCAUAGUCACUAGGCAACACUGAAAUUUCCACUCAUUGCUUUUCAGUCAUCGACAGGAAAAGGAAUUACCGGUAAGUUGACAGGACUUUCCACACUGUUUCUGGUAGCAGCUUAUGAUUGAAUUGAUGGUAGAAGACGUGGCCCACUUAAUCAAAGAUAAUCUGUAUAGAGUGGCACCUUAACCACCACUGGUGAAAUAGAUGACUAGUGGAUGGUCAUCACUUUGCAGCUCACUUUCACUUUCUGCAGCCCAUCUCUUCUCAUCCACAAUCAUUGUCUUUGGAGGAAUGGUGACAGUGCAGUCCUCAUGGCUGGGCAGGUCUACUGCAUGUUGACAGCUGAUACUUGUUCUCUAUUUACUCCAAGAGGCCUACUACACAUUGUACCUCAGUUAUGACUGUACUCUUG
Molecule: long non-coding RNA, 492 nt
Organism: Saccostrea echinata
Lineage: Eukaryota; Metazoa; Mollusca; Bivalvia; Ostreida; Ostreidae
Exons: 3
Source: RefSeq, a predicted model, not a curated record